CCUACGGGUGGCAUCAGUGGGGAAUAUUGCACAAUGGGGGAAACCCUGAUGCAGCGACGCCGCGUGAGUGAAGAAGUAAUUCGUUAUGUAAAGCUCUAUCAGCAGGGAAGAAAAUGACGGUACCUGAGUAAGAAGCCCCGGCUAACUACGUGCCAGCAGCCGCGGUAAUACGUAGGGGGCAAGCGUUGUCCGGAAUUACUGGGUGUAAAGGGAGCGUAGGCGGGAUGGCAAGUUGGGUGUUAAAUCUACCGGCUCAACUGGUAGUCGCACUCAAAACUGCUAUUCUUGAGUGAAGUAGAGGCAGGCGGAAUUCCUAGUGUAGCGGUGAAAUGCGUAGAUAUUAGGAGGAACACCAGUGGCGAAGGCGGCCUGCUGGGCUUUUACUGACGCUGAGGCUCGAAAGUGUGGGGAGCAAACAGGAUUAGAUACCCCUGUAGUC
RNAcentral lists this ribosomal RNA (439 nucleotides) under uncultured bacterium. RNAcentral's name for it is "partial 16S ribosomal RNA". It matches the Rfam family "Bacterial small subunit ribosomal RNA", at positions 338 to 795 of the family's 1533-position model. The record is from RNAcentral.